GACUCGAUUGCGGAUGGUCCGCGCUUGCUUCCGGUGGUUUUCAGGAUUAUUCUUCAGCAGGAGGUUGCCGGUUCGAUUCCGGCUCGAGUUA
This is a non-coding RNA of Mycena rosella, 91 nucleotides long. NCBI's taxonomy places the organism in Eukaryota, Fungi, Basidiomycota, Agaricomycetes, Agaricales, Mycenaceae. The record is from the annotation of a GenBank genome assembly.